Molecule: long non-coding RNA, 333 nt
Filed under: Elaeis guineensis (African oil palm)
Lineage: Eukaryota; Viridiplantae; Streptophyta; Magnoliopsida; Arecales; Arecaceae
Description: long non-coding RNA (EGUI_LNC034842)
Source: RNAcentral
GCUAGCUUAUUGUAGAGCCCUUUUGACGGUGGAUGCUGAUCGAACUUCUUCGAUCGAUGUCUGUCGAUUCUUUGGAUGCUCCAGAUCAUCAACAGACAUUCUUGAGAGAAUGUUGAAGAUCUCUCUGAGAUUUUGUGGGCUCAUGAUACUCGUAGCUCACUUUCUCACUUCCCGAACCCCAGGCUAAAACUCUAGGAAACUCACUGGAAACCUUGCACCCACUUUUCUUUCUUUUCUUUCUUUUUCUCUUGGAAGGAUAUGGACUUCCUUCUCAUACACAAGACUUCUCACACCCCAAAAUUUUUUUCCAAAAAACUUCUUCUUACACGCCCC